Molecule: ribosomal RNA, 391 nt
Filed under: Pristimantis fenestratus (Rio Mamore robber frog)
Lineage: Eukaryota; Metazoa; Chordata; Amphibia; Anura; Strabomantidae
Description: partial 16S ribosomal RNA
Rfam family: Bacterial large subunit ribosomal RNA
Source: RNAcentral
ACUUGUCUUCUAAAUAAAGACUAGUAUGAAAGACAUCACGAGAACUUGACUGUCUCCCUUUUCCAAUCAGUGAACCUAAUCUCCCCGUGAAGAAGCGGGAAUUUAUAAAUAAGACGAGAAGACCCUAUGGAGCUUUAAACACUAAUCACUUGCCCCCAUUCAUUUAAUACUCAGGCUCCUAAACCAACGCACCAUGAUUAUGUGUUUUCGGUUGGGGUGACCGCGGAAAACAACACAACCUCCGCAAUGAGACCUUUUAAACUAUAAGCCACAACUUUAAGUAUCAACAAACUGACAUCCAUUGACCCAAUAUAUUGAUUAAUGAACCAAGUUACCCUAGGGAUAACAGCGCAAUCCACUUCGAGAGCCCCUAUCGACAAGUGGGCUUACG